UGGACAUAUCCAUAGAUGAAUGCUGGGU
This 28-nucleotide non-coding RNA is filed under the name Mus musculus (house mouse). The record is from RNAcentral. Lineage: Eukaryota; Metazoa; Chordata; Mammalia; Rodentia; Muridae.